Molecule: unclassified non-coding RNA, 250 nt
Filed under: plant metagenome
Description: partial contains small subunit ribosomal RNA, internal transcribed spacer 1, and 5.8S ribosomal RNA
Source: RNAcentral
UCUCCGUUGGUGAACCAGCGGAGGGAUCAUUACAGAGUUGCAAAACUCCCAAACCAUUGUGAACGUUACCUAUCCCGUUGCUUCGGCAGGCGGCCCGGGCCCCGCGCCCGGCGCCCCCCGGCCCCCCGUGGGCGCCCGCCGGAGGUAAACCAAACCCUUGAAUUGCAUGGCCUCUCUGAGUCUUCUGUACUGAAUAAGUCAAAACUUUCAACAACGGAUCUCUUGGUUCUGGCAUGAUGAAGAACGCAGC